ACUCACGAGCUCACGUAUUGUUUACCUCGCUUGCUGUUGUUGUAUUGCAAACGCGCGCGCACGCCUCCCUCAUUCGCAGCGGUUGCGUGUGCCUCAGCAUACCACUACCUGGCGGGCUGCGGACGGGCUCUUCCGAAGGGACGAAAAACUAGCGGCGUGCAUCAAGUGACUCUCUCGCUUUUCGAAGUUCCCUUAAUCGCUGUGGGCACAUGAUGCGAUGCAGGCACACAUAAAGUCAGGAGCGGCCGUAGUGCUUUCUGAUACACCCAUAGCCACCGAGAGACGAGGCUGCGGGCGCCCUUGCUUUCAUCCACCGCACCGACUGUUGAGCGAUGGGGCUGGAGCUUGAUCUGCCGAGAAGACAACUUCAAACAAGAGACGCAGGUACGCAAGUAUGUUUGCUGCUGCGGACUCGCUCUCCGUCCUCAUGGCGCUCAGCACGGGGCCUUCAACGGUGGAAGGCGGCGUGCUGCAACGCGUCUGUAUACACAUGUGCUGCGGAAAAUGGCCCGCAUCGUGCGCCUCUCACUUCAACAUGUCUGCGGGAAUAUCAAGCUCAAGCACAG
This 566-nucleotide unclassified non-coding RNA is filed under the name Leishmania donovani. RNAcentral describes it as "gene:unknown". Lineage: Eukaryota; Euglenozoa; Kinetoplastea; Trypanosomatida; Trypanosomatidae. The record is from RNAcentral.